This 462-nucleotide ribosomal RNA is filed under the name uncultured bacterium. RNAcentral describes it as "partial 16S ribosomal RNA". It matches the Rfam family "Bacterial small subunit ribosomal RNA", at positions 28 to 507 of the family's 1533-position model. The record is from RNAcentral.
GACGAACGCUGGCGGCGUGCUUAACACAUGCAAGUCGAACGGAAAGGCCCUUCGGGGUACUCGAGUGGCGAACGGGUGAGUAACACGUGGGUGAUCUGCCCUGCACUUUGGGAUAAGCCUGGGAAACUGGGUCUAAUACCGAAUAGGACCACGCUCUGCAUUGUGUGUGGUGGAAAGCUUUUGCGGUGUGGGAUGGGCCCGCGGCCUAUCAGCUUGUUGGUGGGGUAUUGGCCUACCAAGGCGACGACGGGUAGCCGGCCUGAGAGGGUGAACGGCCACAAGGGGACUGAGAGACGGCGCAGAGUGCUACGGGAGGCAGCAGUGGGGAAUCUUGUCCAAUGGGCGCAAGCCUGAUGCAGCGACGCUGCGUGAGGGAUGACGGCUUUCGGGUUGUAAAAAUCUUCAACCAGGGACGAAGCGUAACUGACGGUACCUGGAGAAGAAGCACCGGCCAACUACGUG